CGUGUAGGCGGUCGGUCAAGUCCGGUGUGAAAGCCCGGAGCUCAGCUCCGGAAGUGCAUCGGAAACUAGCCGACUAGAGCGCGAUAGAGGAGGGUGGAAUUCCUGGUGUAGCGGUGAAAUGCGUAGAUAUCAGGAGGAACACCGGCGGCGAAGGCGGCCCUCUGGCUCGUUGCUGACGCUGAUACGCGAAAGCGUGGGGAGCAAACAGGAUUAGAUACCCUGGUAGUCCACGCUGUAAACGAUCAGGACUGGGCGUGGGUCUCGUACGGGGCUCGUGCCGCAGCUAAACGCGUUAAGUCCUGCGCCUGGGGAGUACGGUCGCAAAGGCUGAA
RNAcentral lists this ribosomal RNA (332 nucleotides) under uncultured bacterium. Its description in RNAcentral is "bacterial SSU rRNA". It matches the Rfam family "Bacterial small subunit ribosomal RNA", at positions 568 to 898 of the family's 1533-position model. The record is from RNAcentral.